UAGGGAAUUUUCCGCAAUGGGCGAAAGCCUGACGGAGCAACGCCGCGUGAGUGAAGACGGUUUUCGGAUUGUAAAGCUCUGUUCUGUGGGAAGAAGACAGUGACGGUACCAUAGGAGAAAGCCCCGGCUAACUACGUGCCAGCAGCCGCGGUAAUACGAAGGGGGCUAGCGUUGCUCGGAAUCACUGGGCGUAAAGGGUGCGUAGGCGGGUUUCUAAGUCAGAGGUGAAAGCCUGGAGCUCAACUCCAGAACUGCCUUUGAGACUGGAAGUCUUGAGUUCGGGAGAGGUGAGUGGAACUGCGAGUGUAGAGGUGAAAUUCGUAGAUAUUCGCAAGAACACCAGUGGCGAAGGCGGCUCACUGGCCCGAUACUGACGCUGAGGCACGAAAGCGUGGGGAGCAAAC
RNAcentral lists this ribosomal RNA (404 nucleotides) under uncultured bacterium. RNAcentral describes it as "bacterial SSU rRNA". It matches the Rfam family "Bacterial small subunit ribosomal RNA", at positions 355 to 773 of the family's 1533-position model. The record is from RNAcentral.